CAUCCGUCUCGGAAUUUAUCCUUUUCGAUUUGCCUACUCUUUGGUAUUGGAACUGUUAAUAAAUUGUUGUUGUGCCUAUGGAACUUUCUUACUUGAAACCUAAUAUCCUUUGUUUCUCCAUAAUUGACGGUUCCAUCGAUUGAAGUUCAUAGGUUUCUGUGUGCAAUCUCAAAUUUAAGAGAAGAUGGUUUAGGGACUCAUCUAUUUCUAAGCAGAGAUAUAUCUAGAUAUAUCUGUCGGAAGAAUGAAAUGCAUUGCUUCUGUAAAAAGGAUGAAAAUGAUUCUCCACUGGAUUUACCAAGAUUUGAGUUAUACACCGAAGAACACCGAAGAACUUAAAGAAUACUAGAAGUCUACAGAAAUUUCUCCAGGCCAUACACCAGAUGCUGCCACAAUAGUAAAGACAACAUCGAUCUGACCCAGGUUUGAGAGGUUUUUGGCAAUCUGGACGGCAUCUGGUGAAGGAAGAUCCUGUCAUCAACGACAAGUUUAGCCUCCUCAACAGAUCAUCUAUAAGGUCUUGAACCAUUUACCUUAAUAUUGCUUUGAGAGGGUUGCACUGAGCAAGAGAAGGAAGGCCUAAUUCUGGCAUUGCGAGGAAGUCCACGGAUAGCGAAAUGAAACUGACA
Non-coding RNA from Durio zibethinus, 629 nucleotides. The record is from RefSeq and is a predicted model, not a curated record. Lineage: Eukaryota; Viridiplantae; Streptophyta; Magnoliopsida; Malvales; Malvaceae.